This 264-nucleotide unclassified non-coding RNA is filed under the name uncultured Magnaporthales. RNAcentral's name for it is "sequence contains 5.8S rRNA gene, ITS2, 28S rRNA gene". The stretch from base 1 to 52 matches the Rfam family "5.8S ribosomal RNA", at positions 103 to 154 of the family's 154-position model. Lineage: Eukaryota; Fungi; Ascomycota; Sordariomycetes; Magnaporthales. The record is from RNAcentral.
AACGCACAUUGCGCCCGCCGGUAUUCCGGCGGGCAUGCCUGUUCGAGCGUCAUUUCAACCCUCAAGCCCAGCUUGGUGUUGGGGCACCCGGUCGCCUGGCGGCCCGGGGCCCUCAAGUGUAUCGGCGGUCUCGUCGGGACUCUGAGCGCAGUAACUCGCGGUAAAACGCGCCUCGCUUGGUCUGUCUCCGGCGGGCUCCAGCCGCUAAAAACCCUCUCUCCCAGAGUUGACCUCGGAUCAGGUAGGAUUACCCGCUGAACUUAA